AAAUAAACAAGAAAAUGAUAACCAACAACCAAGAAAAUAAUCAAACAUAUACUAAUUUUAGAUCCGAGAAUAUCAAACAAAAUAUGGACAGAAAUAAAACUUUAACCAACUAACCGAAUCGGAACAACGACGAACUCGAAUGGAAACAAAUCUGCCAGGAAACUUUGAAACCAAAAUAAACUCGAAUCUUCCCGUAAUCUCAACAACGACCACAGUCUGCUUACUCUUUGAACUCGAAGGGACUAUCAAUCGACGAACAAACCUAGAGUUGACGACGAACGACCUCGACGAACUAGGCCACGAACUGGACGACGAUGGGUGUCGUUUGGACUAAUUUCAUGUGGAGGAAGGGAUGGAGGAGGAACGUCGUUGGAAGAAGAAGGAGACAGGGCAAGGGGGCUGGAGAUGGGGAUGACGGGUGGUCUUUUGGAUAGUAGAUGUCGAGGGUGAUGGAGGACGGACUGUUUGCUCGUGAGCUGGCUGGUGGAGUUUGCUGGAGCUACUAGUUUUGGGGACGACGGAAAGGAAUGGGGGACUGGCAGCAGCUAAUCCCUGCUGCUGGCUCGACAGAGCUGCUGGCUGGAGGUCGAUGUCCAGCGUAGUCGGAUGGCGGACCGGACUGGACGAGGAGGAGGAGGAAGAUGGUUCAUUGCUGGAGGGAUAUUGUGGUCAAGUGGUGGCGUACUAGCUACUGUCGUCGACGACGGAGACGAUGAAGCUGAGGGUCAUUUGGAUACGUGAAGCAGCGAAAGAGGUGGUGGUUCGUUGGAGGUGAGGGCUGGUGGUUUUAGGGUUUGAGGGUGUGUUUGGAGAAGAUGAAGAUAGG
This 826-nucleotide long non-coding RNA is filed under the name Nicotiana benthamiana. RNAcentral describes it as "long non-coding RNA (NBEN_LNC025884)". Lineage: Eukaryota; Viridiplantae; Streptophyta; Magnoliopsida; Solanales; Solanaceae. The record is from RNAcentral.